UACGAAGGGGGCUAGCGUUGCUCGGAAUUAUUGGGCGUAAAGCGCACGUAGGCGGUUCUUUAAGUCAGGGGUGAAAUCCUGGAGCUCAACUCCAGAACUGCCUUUGAUACUGGGGGUCUCGAGUCCGGAAGAGGUGAGUGGAACUCCGAGUGUAGAGGUGAAAUUCGUAGAUAUUCGGAAGAACACCAGUGGCGAAGGCGGCUCACUGGUCCGGUACUGACGCUGAGGUGCGAAAGCGUGGGGAGCAAACAGG
This 253-nucleotide ribosomal RNA is filed under the name uncultured bacterium. RNAcentral's name for it is "partial 16S ribosomal RNA". It matches the Rfam family "Bacterial small subunit ribosomal RNA", at positions 524 to 776 of the family's 1533-position model. The record is from RNAcentral.